This 499-nucleotide long non-coding RNA is filed under the name Salvia miltiorrhiza (redroot sage). RNAcentral describes it as "long non-coding RNA (SMIL_LNC011392)". The record is from RNAcentral. Lineage: Eukaryota; Viridiplantae; Streptophyta; Magnoliopsida; Lamiales; Lamiaceae.
ACGGUCAAGAAGAAUCAACAUGGGAACUUGAAGAGAAGAUGAAAGAGAAGUAUCCAGAGCUUUUUCCCGAAGGUGAAUAACUCAAAUUUCGGGACGAAAUUUUUUUUAAGGGGGGUAGGAUGUAACACCCCGUACUUUUCCUAUGAUGUGAGAUAGUGUCUUAACACUAUUGAGAGAACUGAGAUGUCGAGAUGCGAGAUUAUUUUUUUUUAUGAUUAGAUAAGACAGUUUGUCUUUUAAAUAGAGAUACGAGUGACUAAACCGAGGAUAGAGUUAGAAUGAUGAGAUUCGAGAAAUGAGCUGAGAUAGAGAUGCUGAUUGAAUUGAGUUGAGAUUUUAUUUUAUUUCCGAUUACCGGGAAUAAAUUUAACAGAUACUGAGUUAUCAGAGUUUGACUGACCUAUUAAAGAGAAUAGGUAUAAUGAGUCUGACCUAGAGUCGAGGAAGAAAGAGUGAGAACCCUGAUGAUAAGAGUCGGUCCGAGAGAUGUCUAGUGUGU